Long non-coding RNA from Triticum aestivum (bread wheat), 664 nucleotides. RefSeq lists it as uncharacterized. Lineage: Eukaryota; Viridiplantae; Streptophyta; Magnoliopsida; Poales; Poaceae. The transcript is spliced from 2 exons. The record is from RefSeq and is a predicted model, not a curated record.
UCCAUCGUUUUGCUCGAAAAAGAAAACCUGGGUUCCAUCGAGAGAGGAAAGAGGGGAUCGGGAGUCAGUUAUGCGCCGCCGCCUGCCCUGCGCCGUCGCCGGCGGAGGCCUCGAAUGAGGAUCCAGUGGUGCCCAAAUAAGCAGCUCCCCAAUCCAAGCAGCAGCUCCUCCUUCCCGAGCUGCAACCGGCAAUCGAAGCAAUCAAGCGGCUCCACUCCGGAAUCAGAAACAGGCCCUGUUUCAAAUUCAGUCUCCGAGCUUCCAUUGGUGGCGGGAACCGCCAAUCCUCGGAGGAGACGCACAACAACAACUCUAGACAUCAGUUUUCAGAAGAAAGAUCGACCGGCAACGCGGCAAUGGCGAGGACCGGUCGCCGGCGAUAGGCUGCCAAAUUGAUGGCCAAACCGUCGGUCAAGGCCGAAUCCUCCCUCGACAAGCUGGCCUGUGCAAUUGGAAAGUACAUGCUCCGCAAAUGCAAGUCGGGGCAGGCGGACCUGCUGAGGGAGAGCAAAAGCUGACACGGUGGACAUGUUUUCGCUUGGGAUAUAUCUUUUAGAAUGUUUAAGCUAUUUUUAAGUCUGCUGUUCAACAUCAAUUCUUGAUUCAUCUGAAAUUCUGAAUAUUCUACGACGAUCAGUUACAACGUGAGUUCUAGAUUUAUUUA